GACGAACGGCUGGCGGCGUGCUUAACACAUGCAAGUCGAACGGACGAGUGAGAUAAGUUUACUUAACUCACAAGUUAGUGGCGGACGGGUGAGUAACACGUGGAUAAUCUACCUGCAACACCGGGAUAACGCUGUGAAAACGGUGCUAAUACCGGAUACGUUCCCUUGUGCGCAUGUAUGAGGGAAGAAAGCUCAGGCGGUUGCAGAUGAGUCCGCGGCUGAUUAGCUAGUUGGUGAGGUAAAGGCUCACCAAGGCGAUGAUCAGUAGCCGGCCUGAGAGGGUGAACGGCCACACUGGGACUGAGACACGGUCCGGACUCCUACGGGAGGCAGCAGUGGGGAAUAUUGGACAAUGGGGGAAACCCUGAUCCAGCGACGCCGCGUGUGUGAAGAAGGCCUGCGGGUUGUAAAGCACUUUUAGUGGGGACAAAAAGCCAGGGGCUAACACCAUCUGGUCUUGAUUUAACCCACAGAAAAAGCACCGGCUAACUCUGUG
This 496-nucleotide ribosomal RNA is filed under the name uncultured bacterium. RNAcentral's name for it is "bacterial SSU rRNA". It matches the Rfam family "Bacterial small subunit ribosomal RNA", at positions 35 to 507 of the family's 1533-position model. The record is from RNAcentral.